This 359-nucleotide long non-coding RNA is filed under the name Elaeis guineensis (African oil palm). RNAcentral's name for it is "long non-coding RNA (EGUI_LNC045849)". The record is from RNAcentral. Lineage: Eukaryota; Viridiplantae; Streptophyta; Magnoliopsida; Arecales; Arecaceae.
CUAAUUUAAUCUAAGCAUGCAUAAGAUCAAAUCUUAAAACCAUAAACAUGAUCAUCAAUUGUGAGAUAGGAUUUAGAUAUAGAAAUUAAAUAAAAAAAAUAAAUAAAGAACAUAUCUUGGCAUGAGUCGAUCUUCACCACGAAUUGAUGAUCAUGGAUGUCUUCUGAAGAUCCCUUGUAGCCGCACAAGUAUCCGAUCUCUACGGGUAUCCGUACAAGACUUUGAUCUAAUCAGAAAUUUUUUGAUCUCACUAGGUUGCUAGCUCCCUUGCAGAGAUUACAUCUUGAUGGUUGAAAUUUUUUUUUCUCUCAAAAUAAUCUUAGAGAAGAAGAAGAAGUAGGAGGAUGUUGAUCUCUACG